AUUUCUUCAGUCCAGCACUUUUAUCAAGCAUAUGAAAUUUAGUGCAGAUUGAACAUGGAAUGUUUGAGUUAGUAUAAAGCAUGUUGUGUCCUAUUGCCAACAGGUGGCGCUAUGAUUAUAACUGAACAUUGGCCUUUAGAUAUCUUCAGGCCAUGACUCUUAUCAAAUAUUUGAAGUUUGGUGCAGAUUGGACAUUGCAUGUUUAAGUUAGUGUAAAACAAGCCAUUUUCUGUUGUCAGCAGGUGGCGCUAUGAUUAUAGUGGAAUAAUGACCUUCAGAUGUGUUCAGGCCAAGACUCUUUUCGAACAUGUGAAGUUUGGGGAAGAUCGGACAUCUUAUGCCUGAGUUACAACAACUUC
Long non-coding RNA from Cyprinus carpio carpio, 359 nucleotides. The record is from Ensembl. NCBI's taxonomy places the organism in Eukaryota, Metazoa, Chordata, Actinopteri, Cypriniformes, Cyprinidae.